GCUGGGUGUGGUGGCACACGCCUGUAGUCCCAGCUACUCAGGAGGCUGAGGCAGGAGAAUCGUUUGAACCCGGGAGAUGGAGGUUGCAGUGAGUCACUGCACUCCAGCCUGGGUAACAGAGCGAGACUCUGUCUCAA
Molecule: small RNA, 137 nt
Filed under: Pongo abelii (Sumatran orangutan)
Lineage: Eukaryota; Metazoa; Chordata; Mammalia; Primates; Hominidae
Description: Metazoan signal recognition particle RNA (ENSPPYG00000034020.1)
Source: Rfam by way of RNAcentral